ACCUGGAUAGCUCAGCUGGUUAGAGCGUGAUGCUAAUAACGCCAAGGCUGCAGGUUUGAUCCUCAUAUGGGGCA
This 74-nucleotide transfer RNA is filed under the name Podarcis lilfordi (Lilford's wall lizard). Its description in RNAcentral is "tRNA.Ile". Lineage: Eukaryota; Metazoa; Chordata; Lepidosauria; Squamata; Lacertidae. The record is from RNAcentral.